GCCUGCCCAGUGACCAUGAGUUCAACGGCCGCGGUAUUCUGACCGCGCGAAGGUAGCGUAAUCACUUGUUUUUUAAAUAAAGACUGGUAUGAACGGCCGCACGAGGACCUAACUGUCUCCUUUGUCCAAUCAGUGAAACUGAUCUCCUCGUGCAGAAGCGAGGAUUUUAUCAUAAGACGAGAAGACCCUAUGGAGCUUUAAACUUUUAUUAAUUAUUUUCUUCACCCCUCUAAGGAGCUAACAACCAAUUUAAUUUUUUAAUAAAAGUUUUAGGUUGGGGCGACCAUGGAGAAAAAAAUAUCCUCCCUGAUGACACCUAACUAAGAGCCACAGCUCCAAGUAUUAAGACACUUAACUCCUAUUGACCCAUUUUAUGAUCAACGAACCAAGUUACCCUAGGGAUAACAGCGCAAUCCAUUUCAAGAGUCCCUAUCGACAAAUGGGUUUACGACCUCGAUGUUGGAUCAGGGCAUCCAAGUGGUGCAACCGCUACUAAAGGUUCGUUUGUUCAACGAUUAAAGCCCU
This 525-nucleotide ribosomal RNA is filed under the name Boulenophrys baishanzuensis (Baishanzu horned toad). Its description in RNAcentral is "partial large subunit ribosomal RNA". It matches the Rfam family "Bacterial large subunit ribosomal RNA", at positions 1857 to 2597 of the family's 2925-position model. The record is from RNAcentral. Lineage: Eukaryota; Metazoa; Chordata; Amphibia; Anura; Megophryidae.